AGUGAACGCUGGCGGUAGGCCUAACACAUGCAAGUCGAACGGCAGCACAGUAAGAGCUUGCUCUUACGGGUGGCGAGUGGCGGACGGGUGAGGAAUACAUCGGAAUCUACUUUUUCGUGGGGGAUAACGUAGGGAAACUUACGCUAAUACCGCAUACGACCUACGGGUGAAAGCAGGGGAUCUUCGGACCUUGCGCGAUUGAAUGAGCCGAUGUCGGAUUAGCUAGUUGGCGGGGUAAAGGCCCACCAAGGCGACGAUCCGUAGCUGGUCUGAGAGGAUGAGCAGCCACACUGGAACAGAGACGCGGUCGAGACUCCGACGGGAGGCAGCAGUGGGGAAUGUUGCACAAUGGGCUGAAGCGUGAUGCAUCCAUGCGGCGUGAAUGAAGAAGGCCUUCGUGUUGUAAAGUACUUCCAGCGGGGAGGAAGGGAGUAAAGUUAAUGCCUUUGCUCAUGGACGUUGCCCGAAGAGGAAGCACCGGCUAACUCCGUG
This 492-nucleotide ribosomal RNA is filed under the name uncultured bacterium. RNAcentral describes it as "partial 16S ribosomal RNA". It matches the Rfam family "Bacterial small subunit ribosomal RNA", at positions 29 to 507 of the family's 1533-position model. The record is from RNAcentral.